GUAGGUGGCAAGCGUUGUCCGGAAUUAUUGGGGCGUAAAGCGCGCGCAGGGGCGGUCCUUUAAGUCUGAUGUGAAAGCCCACGGCUCAACCGUGGAGGGUCAUUGGAAACUGGGGGACUUGAGUACAGAAGAGGAAAGCGGAAUUCCAAGUGUAGCGGUGAAAUGCGUAGAGAUUUGGAGGAACACCAGUGGCGAAGGCGGCUUUCUGGUCUGUAACUGACGCUGAGGCGCGAAAGCGUGGGGAGCAAACAGGAUUAGAUACCCUGGUAGUCCACGCCGUAAACGAUGAGUGCUAAGUGUUAGGGGGUUUCCGCCCCUUAGUGCUGCAGCUAACGCAUUAAGCACUCCGCCUGGGGAGUACGGCCGCAAGGCUG
RNAcentral lists this ribosomal RNA (374 nucleotides) under uncultured organism. RNAcentral's name for it is "partial 16S ribosomal RNA". It matches the Rfam family "Bacterial small subunit ribosomal RNA", at positions 527 to 896 of the family's 1533-position model. The record is from RNAcentral.